Molecule: small nuclear RNA, 103 nt
Organism: Pan paniscus (pygmy chimpanzee)
Lineage: Eukaryota; Metazoa; Chordata; Mammalia; Primates; Hominidae
Source: Ensembl
AUGCUCUUUUUGGCAGCAUUUCCACUAAAACUGGAACCAUGCAGAGGUCAGCAUGGCCCCUGCAGAAAGAAGACAGCAAGUUUGUGAAGCAUUUUAUAUGAAA